CCUACGGGUGGCUGCAGUGGGGAAUAUUGGGCAAUGGAGGCAACUCUGACCCAGCAACGCCGCGUGAAUGAUGAAGGUCUUCGGAUUGUAAAGCUCUUUUCUAAGGGAAGAAGAAAGUGACGGUACCUUAGGAAUAAGCCUCGGCUAACUACGUGCCAGUAGCCGCGGCAAUACGUAGGAGGCAAGCGUUAUCCGGAAUGACUGGGCGUAAAGGGUGCGUAGGUGGUUUGACAAGUUAGUAGCGCAACUCCGGGGCUCAACUUCGGAACUACUACUAAAACUGUUGGACUUGAGUGCAGGAGGGACAGUCGGAAUGCAUGGUGUAGCGGUGGAAUGCGUAGAUAUUAGGAGGAACACCGAUGGCGAAGGCGGAUUACUAGACUGUAACUGACGCUGAGGCACGAAAGCGUGGGGAGCAAACAGGAUUAGAUACCCGGGUAGUC
Molecule: ribosomal RNA, 443 nt
Filed under: uncultured bacterium
Lineage: Bacteria
Description: partial 16S ribosomal RNA
Rfam family: Bacterial small subunit ribosomal RNA
Source: RNAcentral